Molecule: ribosomal RNA, 496 nt
Filed under: uncultured bacterium
Lineage: Bacteria
Description: partial 16S ribosomal RNA
Rfam family: Bacterial small subunit ribosomal RNA
Source: RNAcentral
AUGAACGCUGGCGGCGUGCCUAAUCCCUGCAAGUCGAGCGAACAGACGAGGAGCUUGCUCCUCUGACGUUAGCGGCGGACGGGUGAGUAACACGUGGAUAACCUACCUAUAAGACUGGGAUAACUUCGGGAAACCGGAGCUAAUACCGGAUAAUAUAUUGAACCGCAUGGUUCAAUAGUGAAAGACGGUUUUGCUGUCACUUAUAGAUGGAUCCGCGCCGCAUUAGCUAGUUGGUAAGGUAACGGCUUACCAAGGCAACGAUGCGUAGCCGACCUGAGAGGGUGAUCGGCCACACUGGAACUGAGACACGGUCCAGACUCCUACGGGAGGCAGCAGUAGGGAAUCUUCCGCAAUGGGCGAAAGCCUGACGGAGCAACGCCGCGUGGGUGAUGAAGGUCUUCGGAUCGUAAAACUCUGUUAUUAGGGAAGAACAAAUGUGUAAGUAACUAUGCACGUCUUGACGGUACCUAAUCAGAAAGCCACGGCUAACUACGUG